Molecule: ribosomal RNA, 219 nt
Filed under: uncultured bacterium
Lineage: Bacteria
Description: partial 16S ribosomal RNA
Rfam family: Bacterial small subunit ribosomal RNA
Source: RNAcentral
CGUGAGUAACCUGCCUUGGAGUGGGGAAUAACACAGUGAAAACUGUGCUAAUACCGCAUAAUGCAUUUGGGUCGCAUGAUUCUGAAUGCCAAAGAUUUAUCGCUCUGAGAUGGACUCGCGUCUGAUUAGCUGGUUGGCGGGGUAACGGCCCACCAAGGCGACGAUCAGUAGCCGGACUGAGAGGUUGAACGGCCACAUUGGGACUGAGACACGGCCCAG